UUAUGCAGCUUCGACGCUACUCGGAAGCAGUCAAAAUGGCGGCGCCACAUCGGCCACUCGGCUGGGCGGGCGAAGUCAAAUGCUUCUGGUGGUCCGAACUUUGCCAUAGUUUAUCUGGUAGGCAUCCUGUCGGCUACUUCUGACACCAUGUCAUGAGCGGUUGCAAUGAAAAUGGACUGAGUCACUUAACUUGCGUUUUAGCUUGUAGCUUUAUUAACGAGCGCUCACACUUCGUUGGGAACAACAGCACAUACUGAUGACAUCACACAGCUGCAACUACGGUAGCCUGUAGUCACGCAUCACCACAGUCGGCCAAAACAUUGUUAAUUAAUAUUAUAAGGUCUGUAAUGAAAAUUAUAUUAGAUUUAUUUGCAAUAAAUAAUUUGUGAGUGUUUUGUUCUUCCAGUUGAAUAGCAAUAUGAGAUGAGAUAAAGAGGAAGUGUGAAGAAAGGAAGAGAGGAGAGGAGCAAGGGAGUGGGACAGAGGACGAGACGGAAGGAAGGUGUGGACUGUGGAGAAAGAGAGGAGAGGAGCAAGGGAGUGAGACAGAGGAAGAGAAGGAAGUGAAGAGAGAACAAUGCAGUGGGGAGCAGAGCAGUGGAGAGAACUGAGGAGAGACGAAAUUGCAUUUAUUUCAUGAUGAGAAUUGCAGUAUAUAUGAAGAGUUUAUUUGGUAGCCUAACUAUUAUUUCCCAUUGUCAUUUGUCUUUUACAGAGAGGACAAUUUGAGUAAUUAAAAUGAAGCGGAGCCAUCAGUGUCAUCAAUGUGAUUCCCCUUAAUCAAGUAGGGACGUUUGUUGUUUCCAUGUGCCCUGGGGGAGUGUUUUAGCUUAGUACCUUUUGGGCGCAUGUUCACUGUAUUCAUGAGUUGAAUGCUAGUGUAAAUAAAUGGCACACGUUGGUGUAGCUGCCUGAGAGAAGUUGUUUCGACUCCUUUACUAUAUAAUAAUAGUUAAUAAAAUAAGGGAGACAUAAUCAAUAGAUCUUGGUAAUCUUUUUUUAGUGUAGCUUUCAUGGUAAUGCGUAAAAUCAACUGAGGAGACUGAAUGCAGAGUAGAGCAGUGGAGAGUUAAUUUGAACAAUGAAUAUCCUACAUUAUUGUGCAAUGUUAGAAAGCAUCAGUUGUUUAUAUCGUUAAUGAUUAUCUUAAUUUUCCGAAUGUGGGGAUGUGGGUGGGGUCCACGUCCGCUGUCCGGAGCCCAUCCACCCAUAUCCAAGGGUUCCACUAGUAAA
This is a long non-coding RNA of Epinephelus fuscoguttatus (brown-marbled grouper), 1233 nucleotides long. RefSeq lists it as uncharacterized. The transcript has 3 exons. NCBI's taxonomy places the organism in Eukaryota, Metazoa, Chordata, Actinopteri, Perciformes, Serranidae. The record is from RefSeq and is a predicted model, not a curated record.